Molecule: long non-coding RNA, 1117 nt
Organism: Eubalaena glacialis (North Atlantic right whale)
Lineage: Eukaryota; Metazoa; Chordata; Mammalia; Artiodactyla; Balaenidae
Exons: 2
Source: RefSeq, a predicted model, not a curated record
ACCUGGGCGGUCGCGUCCCUCCGUCCUCGCGCCCGCUGGGGAGCGGCGGCUACCGCGUCCAGAGCGUCCGACCGGCCCCGGCGGUGUCUCUGCGCGGAGUCUCCAUUAAUCUCGGGACACCCCCGUACAGGGGCCCUUACCUUCCAAGUUUGAAGCGAAGAACCUGAGCUCCAGAAGGUUCAGAAGCCGGGCUCUGGGAGCUGCGUCCCCCGCACUGCGCCCACCAGCUCUCCCGCAAGGCCGGCGGCCGGGUUAUCCGGGUCUUCCCGAUCCCUCCGUGCAGAGAGCCCGCGGGGCUCCCUCCUGAGCCCCCAGCGCGGAGAUGCGAACAGUCACUGCGUGCGGGCUGCUCUGCUGUCUGCAGGGUGAUGGCCCAGACAGAUACAGGAGCCACGAUCGACAAGCCGACUGGAGUGCCCCUCCCAGGAAGGAUGCGGGGGAAGCAAAGUCCCAGUCUGGCCCCGCCUGGCCGGAUGUGGAUCUCUGUGCCCUGGAGCCCUAGUCAUCUUGGGCCAGGUGCCCUGGAGCAUGAGGCCUUGACUACCAAAGGUAACAAAAUCAGCUCGGGAUGAAGAAGGGCAUCUGCAUCCACCUGGCUGCCUGGGCCAGAAACAGAGCGCAUUACGUAGACCCCUCCCUCACCUCUCAGACAGCUCUUAUAGCCACCCUCUUCCCUCCCUCCAUUCCUACCCCAGUCCCACCUCCCAGCUGGCCUCUUCCAAACCUCUCCAAAGCACUGUCAGAAGAACUUAUAAAACCCCAGGUCUGAUCUGUCACUCCCCAGUUUACGACUCAGAGCCGGCUUCCCAUUGCCCUCGGGUCCAAACCCAGUCUCUGCUGGCGGGGUUUACCAGACUGGCCUCCCCCUGUAGCCUAGUGCCACCCCCAAACUGUGCACCCCGGAUCCCAGCCCCAAAUCGGAAGUACUUCCUGACCCUGGAACUCAACUCAAACCAGGCUCCCAGGUAAAUUGGUCUUGCCUUCCUCCCCCACCUCCCCCAGGAGAUAGAGCCUUCCAGUUAAAAUGAGAAAAUCUUCUAAAUCUGUUGAGUGUUUUUGCGGUCAUAGCUAAAAUCCUGAAACCAAAUAACAUAGCAAGUAAAGCAAUUUAACAAAA